AUCCAGCUGACGAGUCAAAAGUAGGACGAAACAUGCGUCAAACUGGAU
This 48-nucleotide non-coding RNA is filed under the name Schistosoma haematobium. Lineage: Eukaryota; Metazoa; Platyhelminthes; Trematoda; Strigeidida; Schistosomatidae. The record is from RNAcentral.